UGGCGGCGUGCCUAACACAUGCAAGUCGAACGGUGAUAUAUAGAUGAUUUCGGUCUGAAAUAUAUCAUAGUGGCGGACGGGUGAGUAACGCGUGGAUAACCUGCCCCGUACUGGGGGAUAGCAGCUGGAAACGGCUGGUGAUACCGCAUAAGCGCACGAGGGGGCCUCCCUUUGUGUGAAAAGAUUCAUCGGUACGGGAUGGGUCCGCGUCUGAUUAGCCAGUUGGCGGGGUAACGGCCCACCAAAGCGACGAUCAGUAGCCGGCCUGAGAGGGUGAACGGCCACAUUGGGACUGAGACACGGCCCAGACUCCUACGGGAGGCAGCAGUGGGGAAUAUUGCACAAUGGGCGAAAGCCUGAUGCAGCCGACGCCGCGUGAGUGAAGAAGUAUUUCGGUAUGUAAAGCUCUAUCAGCAGGGAAGAAAGGCCCAUUAAGGGAGUUGACGGUACCUGACUAAGAAGCCCCGGCUAACUACGUGCCAGCCGCCGC
This 490-nucleotide ribosomal RNA is filed under the name uncultured bacterium. Its description in RNAcentral is "bacterial SSU rRNA". It matches the Rfam family "Bacterial small subunit ribosomal RNA", at positions 37 to 518 of the family's 1533-position model. The record is from RNAcentral.